RNAcentral lists this ribosomal RNA (269 nucleotides) under uncultured prokaryote. RNAcentral describes it as "partial 16S ribosomal RNA". It matches the Rfam family "Bacterial small subunit ribosomal RNA", at positions 524 to 792 of the family's 1533-position model. The record is from RNAcentral.
UACGGGGGGGACGAGCGUUGUUCGGAUUUACUGGGCGUAAAGGGCGCGUAGGCGGACUUUCAAGUCGGAUGUGAAAACUGGUGGCUCAACUGCCAGCCUGCAUCCGAUACUGUUGGUCUUGAGUACAUGAGAGGAAAGCGGAAUUCCAGGUGUAGCGGUGGAAUGCGUAGAUAUCUGGAAGAACACCAGUAGCGAAGGCGGCUUUCUGGCGUGAUACUGACGCUGAAGCGCGAAGGCUAGGGGAGCAAACAGGAUUAGAUACCCCCGUA